RNAcentral lists this ribosomal RNA (468 nucleotides) under uncultured bacterium. RNAcentral's name for it is "partial 16S ribosomal RNA". It matches the Rfam family "Bacterial small subunit ribosomal RNA", at positions 28 to 507 of the family's 1533-position model. The record is from RNAcentral.
GACGAACGCUGGCGGCGUGCUUAACACAUGCAAGUCGAACGGAAAGGCCCUGCUUUUGUGGGGUGCUCGAGUGGCGAACGGGUGAGUAACACGUGAGUAACCUGCCCUUGACUUUGGGAUAACAUCAGGAAACUGGGGCUAAUACCGGAUAGGAGCUCCUGCUGCAUGGUGGGGGUUGGAAAGUUUCGGCGGUUGGGGAUGGACUCGCGGCUUAUCAGCUUGUUGGUGGGGUAGUGGCUUACCAAGGCUUUGACGGGUAGCCGGCCUGAGAGGGUGACCGGCCACAAUGGGACUGAGAUACGGCCCAGACUCCUACGGGAGGCAGCAGUGGGGAAUAUUGCACAAUGGGCGGAAGCCUGAUGCAGCAACGCCGCGUGCGGGAUGACGGCCUUCGGGUUGUAAACCGCUUUCGCCUGUGACGAAGCGUGAGUGACGGUAAUGGGUAAAGAAGCACCGGCUAACUACGUG